This 645-nucleotide ribosomal RNA is filed under the name uncultured Streptomyces sp. RNAcentral's name for it is "bacterial SSU rRNA". It matches the Rfam family "Bacterial small subunit ribosomal RNA", at positions 232 to 886 of the family's 1533-position model. The record is from RNAcentral. Lineage: Bacteria; Bacillati; Actinomycetota; Actinomycetes; Kitasatosporales; Streptomycetaceae.
CGCGGCCUAUCAGCUUGUUGGUGGGGUGAUGGCCUACCAAGGCGACGACGGGUAGCCGGCCUGAGAGGGCGACCGGUCACACUGGGACUGAGACACGGCCCAGACUCCUACGGGAGGCAGCAGUGGGGAAUAUUGCACAAUGGGCGGAAGCCUGAUGCAGCGACGCCGCGUGAGGGAUGACGGCCUUCGGGUUGUAAACCUCUUUCAGCAGGGAAGAAGCGCAAGUGACGGUACCUGCAGAAGAAGCGCCGGCUAACUACGUGCCAGCAGCCGCGGUAAUACUUAGGGCGCAAGCGUUGUCCGGAAUUAUUGGGCGUAAAGAGCUCGUAGGCGGCUUGUCGCGUCGGUUGUGAAAGCCCGGGGCUUAACCCCGGGUCUGCAGUCGAUACAGACAGGCUAGAGUUCGGUAUGGGAGACUGGAAUUCCUGGUGUAGCGGUGAAAUGCGCAGAUAUCAGGAGGAACACCGGUGGCGAAGGCGGAUCUCUGGGCCGAUACUGACGCUGAGGAGCGAAAGCGUGGGGAGCGAACAGGAUUAGAUACCCUGGUAGUCCACGCCGUAAACGGUGGGCACUAGGUGUGGGCAACAUUCCACGUUGUCCGUGCCGCAGCUAACACAUUAAGUGCCCCGCCUGGGGGAGUACGGA